CAAAUUAUAACUUAUAUAAAGUAUUUUAUUUACAUUAAAAAUAAAUGGUUUAAAUCCAUUAAUUUGA
RNAcentral lists this transfer RNA (67 nucleotides) under Neopsylla specialis. Its description in RNAcentral is "tRNA-Val". The record is from RNAcentral. RNAcentral also lists the same sequence under 1 other name. Lineage: Eukaryota; Metazoa; Arthropoda; Insecta; Siphonaptera; Ctenophthalmidae.